ACAUUAUAAACCCAUGACCAUUCCCUAAAUUAACCGAUGUGGGACUUUCAUCAUCCAACACGGUGAAACCAUAAUUUUUCGAUUCUCUGUCCUAUAUCCAAUGUUACAAAACAGCAAACCACUUUGAAUAAUGUCUCACAAAGUGGUAACUAAACACUUUGUUCUUCUAAUAAGCUGAUAUGUUACUGACACUAAUUUGAUGCAGUUUGAGUCACUGUUUUUGUGUGUAUGUGAGUAGCUCUUUCUCCCUUUUUACUUUAAGCUUUCAUGUGUCAAUAGACACAACAUGUUUGUAUUUUUCUGUGAGGGUAGGGGGCUUUGGGAUUUUAGCUGUGAGCUGUGGGCUUCUUGUAGACCCUUAAGAAGGAGAUGUUUGGUUUAUCGCAGUAAUGAGUUGAGUCUAAGACGUCCAAGGUUGAGAACCUUGGGCUUUAUUUGGCGAUGUUUGAUUUAUGGCAGUGACAAGUCGAGUUUAAGACAUCCAAGGUUGAGAACCUUAGGCUUGUAUUCGGAGAUAUUUGGUUUAUGGCAGUAACAAAUCGAGUCUAAGAAGUCUAAGGUUGAGAACCUUAGGCUUGUAUGUGUAGAUGUUUGGUUUAUGGCAGUAACAAGUCGAGUCUAAGAAGUCCAAGGUUGAGAACCUUAGGUUUGUGUGUGUAGAUGUUUGGUUUAUGGCAGUAACAAGGUCUAAGACGUCCAAGGUUGAGAACCUUAGGCUUGUAUUUGGAGAUGUUUGGUUUAUGACAGUGACAAGUCGAGUCUAAGACGUCCAAGGUUGAGAACCUUCAGCUUGUAUUUGGAUUGUGAGUUCUUUAUGUUUUGUAAAAGUAAGAGAAAGUGGGUCUCAUCAAAUGGGGUUUAAUUUGAGCUUAUAUGCGCUUAGGACAAGCAUACCAAUAACUUGGGAUAGGGAAAUCACCAGAUUAUAUACUAUCCGAAAGGGUGAGAUCGGUGCAGUUGUUGAAAUUAGUACCGUUAAUCCAAACACUUUUCAUAAAUCAAGUGUUCCAUCCAGGUUUACCUUUAAAGUGGUUAACAGUGCUUUUAAUUUUAGGUAAUAUCUGGCAAAAAGUGUUACUUUUAGGAUAGUGGAGAAUGUUUUAAAGCUAAUUAUCCAUAAAGUUCCUUAAAAGUGUUUUUGGAUGCUUUUCUCAAAAGUAUUUAUAAAAAGGUAUUUCACUCCAAAGUUGUUCUCAAAAGUCAUUCCAAAACUUACUCUUAUCUGAAUUAUUACAAGGAUACAAAUGUCGAUGAUGUCAUCAAUAUCGAGAUUUCAUUUUUGCAAAGUUAUCGAUGCAAAUUUCUAUAAAUAAAAUAAAAAAACCUAUUCAAACUAAGUUAUAGAUCUUGCUCAUAGUAUUUAUAUUUAUGUUGGGGUUAAUCGAUGAUAUCUUUUUAUGUUUUAUGAGUAUUUAUAAACAAUAUUGGAAGAUAUCUAUUCUUAAACCUCAAUGUCCACGUCGAACCCUCCAAUUUACGGAUAUAUUGAUGAACAUUUUCAUCCUUGAAUGAUUGUUAUUUUAGCUAGGUACAAUGAUUUUACCACAUUUAGAUAGAUGAAAACCAUAGUAAUGGGACAUUGAAUUUCGGUUCAAAGUUGAAGACCCUUUAGUUACUAAACCUUCAUCUCCUUCUCGUAACACUUUGCAUC
Molecule: long non-coding RNA, 1651 nt
Organism: Cucurbita maxima (winter squash)
Lineage: Eukaryota; Viridiplantae; Streptophyta; Magnoliopsida; Cucurbitales; Cucurbitaceae
Exons: 3
Source: RefSeq, a predicted model, not a curated record